AGAGUUUGAUCCUGGCUCAGGAUGAACGCUAGCGGCAGGCCUAAUACAUGCAAGUCGAACGGUAAAUGUCCCUUCGGGGAUAUGAGAGUGGCGCACGGGUGCGUAACGCGUAUGCAACCCACCCGCUGUCGGGGGAUAGCCCGGAGAAAUUCGAAUUAAUACCCCAUGAGGAGGGGACGAGGCAUCUCGUUCUUUCAAAACUACGGUGACGGCGGACGGGCAUGCGUGCCAUUAGAUGGUUGCGGGGUAACGGCCCACCAAGUCGACGAUGGCUAGGGGAUCUGAGAGGACGGUCCCCCACACUGGUACUGAGACACGGACCAGACUCCUACGGGAGGCAGCAGUAAGGGAUAUUGGUCAAUGGGGGGAACCCUGAACCAGCCAUGCCGCGUGAGGGAAUAAGGCCCUACGGGUCGUAAACCUCUUUUGCCGGGGGAUAAAGACAGCCACGUGUGGUUGUUUGAAGGUACCCGGAGAAUAAGCAUCGGCUAACUCCGUGCC
Molecule: ribosomal RNA, 501 nt
Filed under: uncultured bacterium
Lineage: Bacteria
Description: bacterial SSU rRNA
Rfam family: Bacterial small subunit ribosomal RNA
Source: RNAcentral